GACGGAGUACGAACAUUCAUGAAAGAGGCGAAAGAGAGCUGGCAAAGCUAUGAAUAACUAUAGCCGAAAAGGUGUGUAAAUUGUCUUGAGUACUUUUACAGCUAUACAAAAGAAUAAGAAGAAAGCAGGCUAAUAAUAAAAGGGGAUGCCGAAGGCAAAUGAGACUAGAAAGCAUGGACGAUCGAAGCCUUAUACUAUACGUAGGGUACCUCUUUUU
This 217-nucleotide unclassified non-coding RNA is filed under the name Hevea brasiliensis (rubber tree). Lineage: Eukaryota; Viridiplantae; Streptophyta; Magnoliopsida; Malpighiales; Euphorbiaceae. The record is from RNAcentral.